ACUCCUACGGGAGGCAGCUAGUAGGAAUUUUCCGCAAUGGACGAAAGUCUGACGGAGCAAUGCCGCGUGAGUGAUGAAGGUUUUACGAAUCGUAAAGCUCUGUUGUAAGGGAAGAAUAGCAAGAAUAGGAAAUGAUUCUUGUCUGACGGUACCUUACCAGAAAGCCACGGCUAACUACGUGCCAGCAGCCGCGGUAAUACGUAGGUGGCAAGCGUUAUCCGGAAUUAUUGGGCGUAAAGCGCAUGCAGGUGGUUUGUUAAGUCAGAUGUGAAAGCCCGGGGCUCAACCUCGGAAUUGCAUUUGAAACUGGCAGACUAGAGUACUGUAGAGGGGGGUAGAAUUUCAGGUGUAGCGGUGAAAUGCGUAGAGAUCUGAAAGAAUACCGGUGG
RNAcentral lists this ribosomal RNA (389 nucleotides) under uncultured bacterium. RNAcentral's name for it is "bacterial SSU rRNA". It matches the Rfam family "Bacterial small subunit ribosomal RNA", at positions 335 to 715 of the family's 1533-position model. The record is from RNAcentral.